UUAAUCUCACGAAUCCUAGAUAUUGUCAAUAGAAUCUCUGAACCUCAAUCUCACCGUCACCGCACAGAACCCUCAAUCGAACCCUCAAUCUCUCAGAACUCUUAAUCGAAUCCUCUAACUCACCCACUGAAAUCUCAAUCGAACCCUCAAUCUCUCAGAAUCCUGAAUCAACCUUCAGUCUCAAACUCUCACGUUCAAUCACCCUCACCUCACUUAAAUCUCAAUCGAAGAGUAAUUUGUGCAAAUAUAUGUUCAAGACCUAUUCAAAUUUAGGCGAUUCUAGCUUUAAAGUUGAGAAAUUUUUUGGAGGCAUAACAAAUUCAAUGAGCUAGCAUUCGAUGAAAAAAGCUGUAAAGAAGCAAUGGAUCUGUUUGGAGAAACCAAACAUCUUCAAAUUAUGGUCUUACCUUGACUCAGAAGAAUGAGGAGAGUGAAAAGGAUGAGAUUGAGAAUACUGGUCUUACCUUGUGUCGAAUAUUGAGAACAACAAAGCUUAACAUUGCAGAUUUUUUCAAAGAACUUCCUCAGUUUGUUGUCAAAGCUGGUCCAAUUUUAAGCAAUCGAUUCAGCUCUGAUUGGGAAAACAAGCUUGAGGCGAAAGAGAUGCAUGCUAACACUAUUCACUUGAAGAUUCUUAGUGUGUAGCCCAGUAAUAUUUUUUUUUUUUUGAAGUAUAAGGUUGUUUGCUUUGAUUAUAGUUUGCUUUACAUCUUACAACUUUGAUGGUGCCAGGUAUUAUAAGCGUGCAUUUGAAGAGUUCUUUGUGUCAACUGAUGCAAAUGUUGAAAUAAGUCGUCUGUUACCAACCGUGUAUCUGAGUGUCAUCGUUUUGGAUGGUUACUUUUCUUGGCGCUCCGUGUACAUGCUUUCAACCAUUUUAAAGAUUUGGUGACUUGCACCAAUGGUUUAAUUUCUAUCAUGACCGUCUAAAUCCAAUAGAAAGGAGAAAGAUUUUAAGCUCCUAAUCUAGCUAAACACGACCAUUGACGGAAGCUCUAAACCCAGGUCUUCAACUUUUUUCAUUCUUUACUUUCACCUCUUUUAUCAUGAUAAUUUUUUCAUAUUAGUUUUGUUUUCUUUGUUUUGAUUUCUCUAUAUUUAUGUCUCUGCUGCUGCAUUUUUUUCAAGUGUCUUGGGUGUUUAGUAUGCGUAGGAGGUUUAUAUUUGGUGUUUAAUGUUGUUCCAUGACCCCCCAAAUCUAUUUGUGCUUCUGUUUUUUUCAUUUGAGCUGAAUUAACGUAUAUACACCACUAUGAGUUUUGGUUAACUUUAUUCAAUUACAAAUAUAGUUGUAAAUUAUAUACAAGUUGUAGGGUUGUUUCUGUAACCAUUCAUGACAUAAAUAGUGAAUACAAAUGACCAAAUGAAAUGUAAUUAAAAUAGGUGAACUGACUGCAAUGAUUGUUCGAUUCUCUUGUCAUGAUGACCAUAGUUUUGUUAUAUAAUUUACAAGUUUGUCUAGGAUUUUUUAGAAUGAUAAAUUAGACAUGCCAUUUCAAAAAGGAUGAUAGUGCUAGUUUAGUGCCUGCUUUCUUUUUGGUUCUUCUUGGUAUCUGAUAUUAGUUUGAAACAAAGAAGAUAAAAGUAAAUGUUGUGAGCUACAAUAUGGUUACUCCUAAAGAACGUGAUAAUACAAACUGGUUGGUGGUUAUCAAGACAAAAGCAAGAAGCACAAUCAAUGCAAGAGGUUGUGAAGACAGGCCAGUAAGUAGAAUCAUAUCCCGGAGAUGAGGAUGAGGAUAAAGAAUAAUUUGACUCAUUAAUUCUUGUUUAUUUUCAUUAUUUAAUGUAAUAAAUUUCACAUUGAAGGCUAAAUUGUCGAUAUUCAUGACAAAAUUGAUUAACUUUGGUUAGACAUUUAUUUUAAUGUAAUAAAUCUC
Molecule: long non-coding RNA, 1880 nt
Filed under: Medicago truncatula (barrel medic)
Lineage: Eukaryota; Viridiplantae; Streptophyta; Magnoliopsida; Fabales; Fabaceae
Description: lncRNA gene46936
Source: RNAcentral